This 501-nucleotide ribosomal RNA is filed under the name uncultured bacterium. RNAcentral describes it as "bacterial SSU rRNA". It matches the Rfam family "Bacterial small subunit ribosomal RNA", at positions 30 to 524 of the family's 1533-position model. The record is from RNAcentral.
AUUGAACGCUGGCGGAAUGCUUUACACAUGCAAGUCGAACGGCAGCACGGGGGCAACCCUGGUGGCGAGUGGCGAACGGGUGAGUAAUACAUCGGAACGUGCCCUGUCGUGGGGGAUAACGUAGCGAAAGCUACGCUAAUACCGCAUACGAUCUCUGGAUGAAAGCGGGGGACCGCAAGGCCUCGCGCGAUUGGAGCGGCCGAUGGCAGAUUAGGUAGUUGGUGGGGUAAAGGCUCACCAAGCCGACGAUCUGUAGCUGGUCUGAGAGGACGACCAGCCACACUGGGACUGAGACACGGCCCAGACUCCUACGGGAGGCAGCAGUGGGGAAUUUUGGACAAUGGGCGAAAGCCUGAUCCAGCCAUUCCGCGUGCAGGAUGAAGGCCCUCGGGUUGUAAACUGCUUUUGUACGGAACGAAACGGUCUUGGUUAAUACCUGGGGCUAAUGACGGUACCGUAAGAAUAAGCACCGGCUAACUACGUGCCAGCAGCCGCGGUAAU